AUUAAACGCUGGCGGCAUGCCUUACACAUGCAAGUCGAACGGCAGCACGGGGGCAACCUUGGUGGCGAGUGGCGAACGGGUGAGUAAAGCAUCGGAACGUGCCCUGGAGUGGGGGGUAACGUAGCGAAAGUUACGCUAAUACCGCAUAUUCUGUGAGCAGGAAAGCAGGGGAUCGCAAGACCUUGCGCUCUGGGAGCGGCCGAUGUCGGAUUAGCUAGUUGGUGGGGUAAAGGCCUACCAAGGCGACGAUCCGUAGCGGGUCUGAGAGGAUGAUCCGCCACACUGGGACUGAGACACGGCCCAGACUCCUACGGGAGGCAGCAGUGGGGAAUUUUGGACAAUGGGCGAAAGCCUGAUCCAGCCAUGCCGCGUGAGUGAAGAAGGCCUCGGUUGU
RNAcentral lists this ribosomal RNA (394 nucleotides) under uncultured bacterium. Its description in RNAcentral is "bacterial SSU rRNA". It matches the Rfam family "Bacterial small subunit ribosomal RNA", at positions 29 to 426 of the family's 1533-position model. The record is from RNAcentral.